GUAGGUGGCAAGCGUUGUCCGGAAUUAUUGGGCGUAAAGCGCGCGCAGGCGGUUCUUUAAGUCUGAUGUGAAAGCCCACGGCUCAACCGUGGAGGGUCAUUGGAAACUGGAGAACUUGAGUACAGAAGAGGAAAGCGGAAUUCCACGUGUAGCGGUGAAAUGCGUAGAGAUGUGGAGGAACACCAGUGGCGAAGGCGGCUUUCUGGUCUGUAAUUGACGCUGAGGCGCGAAAGCGUGGGGAGCAAACAGGAUUAGAUACCCUGGUAGUCCACGCCGUAAACGAUGAGUGCUAAGUGUUAGGGGGUUUCCGCCCCCCUUAGUGCUGCAGCUAACGCAUUAAGCACUCCGCCUGGGAGUACGGCCGCAAGGCUG
This 372-nucleotide ribosomal RNA is filed under the name uncultured organism. RNAcentral describes it as "partial 16S ribosomal RNA". It matches the Rfam family "Bacterial small subunit ribosomal RNA", at positions 527 to 896 of the family's 1533-position model. The record is from RNAcentral.